UUAGUGGAAGCGUCUGGAAAGGCGCGCGAUACAGGGUGACAGCCCCGUACACAAAAGCGCAUGUGCUGUGAGCUCGAUGAGUAGGGCGGGACACGUGGUAUCCUGUCUGAAUAUGGGGGGACCAUCCUCCAAGGCUAAAUACUCCUGACUGACCGAUAGUGAACCAGUACCGUGAGGGAAAGGCGAAAAGAACCCCGGCGAGGGGAGUGAAAAAGAACCUGAAACCGUGUACGUACAAGCAGUGGGAGCCCCACCACCAAAGCAUUCUCUGGUGUUGAAGGCCCUGCAAAGCAGCAUCGCGGUGGCGGAGCGUCGUUUGCGACGCCCAACACACAAAACAAGCGGUGAGUGCUUUGGGGUGGGGUGACUGCGUACCUUUUGUAUAAUGGGUCAGCGACUUAUAUUCUGUAGCAAGGUUAACCGAAUAGGGGAGCCGGAGGGAAACCGAGUCUUAAUUGGGCGUUAAGUUGCAGGGUAUAGACCCGAAACCCGGUGAUCUAGCCAUGGGCAGGUUGAAGGUUGGGUAACACUAACUGGAGGACCGAACCGACUAAUGUUGAAAAAUUAGCGGAUGACCUGUGGCUGGGGGUGAAAGGCCAAUCAAACCGGGAGAUAGCUGGUUCUCCCCGAAAGCUAUUUAGGUAGCGCCUCGUGAAUUCAUCUCCGGGGGUAGAGCACUGUUUCGGCUAGGGGGCCAUCCCGGCUUACCAACCCGAUGCAAACUGCGAAUACCGGAGAAUGUUAUCACGGGAGACACACGGCGGGUGCUAACGUCCGUCGUGAAGAGGGAAACAACCCAGACCGCCAGCUAAGGUCCCAAAGUCAUGGUUAAGUGGGAAACGAUGUGGGAAGGCCCAGACAGCCAGGAUGUUGGCUUAGAAGCAGCCAUCAUUUAAAGAAAGCGUAAUAGCUCACUGGUCGAGUCGGCCUGCGCGGAAGAUGUAACGGGGCUAAACCAUGCACCGAAGCUGCGGCAGCGAAGUCGAUGGGAAACGGGUUAAUAUUCCCGUACUUGGUGUUACUGCGAAGGGGGGACGGAGAAGGCUAUGUUGGCCGGGCGACGGUUGUCCCGGUUUAAGCGUGUAGG
This 1087-nucleotide ribosomal RNA is filed under the name Salmonella enterica subsp. enterica serovar Infantis. RNAcentral describes it as "partial 23S ribosomal RNA". It matches the Rfam family "Bacterial large subunit ribosomal RNA", at positions 329 to 1263 of the family's 2925-position model. Lineage: Bacteria; Pseudomonadati; Pseudomonadota; Gammaproteobacteria; Enterobacterales; Enterobacteriaceae. The record is from RNAcentral.